AUAUUAGUUUUUCAUGUUGUGUUUGCAGUGAUUAAUUAUGGAUAUUUUUAUGGGAGACUCCAGUUUUGAUACAGUUAAAACAAUAUAAGUCUUUAUGACAUGUUUGAAUAUAUUAUAUAUUUUUACUUUUGCUUAAAGGCACCUGAUGAUCGAGGAAAACUGCCAGCUUGAGAAAAAAGCCAUUUCGAUUCUUGAGGAAAAUUUCAAAUCUACAAGAGGAGUUGACUUAUAUAGUAAAAAAGCCAAAGAUACUGAAGAAAGAGUGCAAAGAACCACUGUUUAUUACCAAGGAAGGGUUAUUCAUUAUAAGAAAAAAGCUCACCAUAAUUG
Molecule: long non-coding RNA, 330 nt
Organism: Ochotona curzoniae (black-lipped pika)
Lineage: Eukaryota; Metazoa; Chordata; Mammalia; Lagomorpha; Ochotonidae
Exons: 3
Source: RefSeq, a predicted model, not a curated record